GGACGAACGCUGGCGGCGUGCUUAAUACAUGCAAGUCGAGCGGGGAUAGGGUGCUUGCACCUGUUUCCUAGCGGCGAACGGGUGAGUAACGCGUAGGUAAUCUGCCUUGUAGCGGGGGAUAACUAUCCGAAACGAUAGCUAAUACCGCAUACCACCUACGGACUAAUGCAGGGGAUCUUAAAGGGGCAAUUGCGCCACUACAGAUGGACCUAAGUCGGAUUAGCUAGUAGGUGAGGUAAAGGCCUACCUAGGCGACGAUCUGUAGCGGACCUGAGAGGGUGAUCGGCCACACUGGGACUGAGACACGGCCCAGACUCCUACGGGAGGCAGCAGUGGGGAAUAUUCGACAAUGGGGGGAACCCUGACCGAGCAAUGCCGCGUGUGUGAAGAAGGCCUUCGGGUUGUAAAGCACUGUAAUCAAGGAGGAGGGAGUGUGAGAGAAUACCGUGGAUAAGUGGACGUUACUCGCAGAAUAAGCACCGGCUAACUCUGU
Molecule: ribosomal RNA, 493 nt
Filed under: Pseudomonadales bacterium 'ARUP UnID 27'
Lineage: Bacteria; Pseudomonadati; Pseudomonadota; Gammaproteobacteria; Pseudomonadales
Description: bacterial SSU rRNA
Rfam family: Bacterial small subunit ribosomal RNA
Source: RNAcentral